UACGUAGGGACCAAGCGUUGUCCGGAAUCAUUGGGCGUAAAGAGCGUGUAGGCGGCUUGUUAAGUCUUGCGUGAAAUCUCGGGGCUCAACCCCGAGCGGUCGUGAGAAACUGGCAGGCUAGAGUGCGGGAGAGGAGAGUGGAAUUCCUGGUGUAGCGGUGAAAUGCGCAGAUAUCAGGAGGAACACCGGUGGCGAAGGCGGCGCCCUGGGCCGGUACUGACGCUGAGGAGCGAAAGCGUGGGGAGCGAACAGG
RNAcentral lists this ribosomal RNA (253 nucleotides) under uncultured bacterium. RNAcentral describes it as "partial 16S ribosomal RNA". It matches the Rfam family "Bacterial small subunit ribosomal RNA", at positions 524 to 776 of the family's 1533-position model. The record is from RNAcentral.